This 253-nucleotide ribosomal RNA is filed under the name uncultured bacterium. RNAcentral's name for it is "partial 16S ribosomal RNA". It matches the Rfam family "Bacterial small subunit ribosomal RNA", at positions 524 to 776 of the family's 1533-position model. The record is from RNAcentral.
UACGUAGGGUCCGAGCGUUGUCCGGAGUUACUGGGCGUAAAGCGCGCGCAGGUGGUUGAUCAAGUCUGGCGUGAAAGCCCCCGGCUUAACUGGGGAGGGUCGUCGGAGACUGGUCGACUUGAGGGCAGGAGGGGUUGGUGGAAUUCCCGGUGUAGUGGUGAAAUGCGUAGAGAUCGGGAGGAACACCCGUGGCGAAGGCGGCCAACUGGACUGACCCUGACACUGAGGCGCGAAGGCGUGGGGAGCGAACGGG